RNAcentral lists this ribosomal RNA (587 nucleotides) under Salmonella enterica subsp. enterica serovar Enteritidis. Its description in RNAcentral is "partial 23S ribosomal RNA". It matches the Rfam family "Bacterial large subunit ribosomal RNA", at positions 642 to 1230 of the family's 2925-position model. Lineage: Bacteria; Pseudomonadati; Pseudomonadota; Gammaproteobacteria; Enterobacterales; Enterobacteriaceae. The record is from RNAcentral.
AAGGUUAACCGAAUAGGGGAGCCGGAGGGAAACCGAGUCUUAAUUGGGCGUUAAGUUGCAGGGUAUAGACCCGAAACCCGGUGAUCUAGCCAUGGGCAGGUUGAAGGGUGGGUAACACUAACUGGAGGACCGAACCGACUAAUGUUGAAAAAUUAGCGGAUGACCUGUGGCUGGGGGUGAAAGGCCAAUCAAACCGGGAGAUAGCUGGUUCUCCCCGAAAGCUAUUUAGGUAGCGCCUCGUGAAUUCAUCUCCGGGGGUAGAGCACUGUUUCGGCUAGGGGGCCAUCCCGGCUUACCAACCCGAUGCAAACUGCGAAUACCGGAGAAUGUUAUCACGGGAGACACACGGCGGGUGCUAACGUCCGUCGUGAAGAGGGAAACAACCCAGACCGCCAGCUAAGGUCCCAAAGUCAUGGUUAAGUGGGAAACGAUGUGGGAAGGCCCAGACAGCCAGGAUGUUGGCUUAGAAGCAGCCAUCAUUUAAAGAAAGCGUAAUAGCUCACUGGUCGAGUCGGCCUGCGCGGAAGAUGUAACGGGGCUAAACCAUGCACCGAAGCUGCGGCAGCGACACUGUGUGUUGUUGGGUA